UGCGUAGGCGGAAAAUUAAGUCAGUGGUGAAAUCCUGCAGCUCAACUGUAGAACUGUCAUUGAUACUGAUUUUCUUGAAUACAGUUGAGGUAGGCGGAAUAUGUAAUGUAGCGGUGAAAUGCUUAGAUAUUACAUAGAACACCGAUUGCGAAGGCAGCUUACUAAACUGUGAUUGACGCUGAGGCACGAAAGCGUGGGGAGCGAACAGGAUUAGAUACCAUGGUAGUCC
Molecule: ribosomal RNA, 229 nt
Filed under: uncultured bacterium
Lineage: Bacteria
Description: partial 16S ribosomal RNA
Rfam family: Bacterial small subunit ribosomal RNA
Source: RNAcentral